This 324-nucleotide ribosomal RNA is filed under the name uncultured eukaryote. Its description in RNAcentral is "partial 18S ribosomal RNA". It matches the Rfam family "Eukaryotic small subunit ribosomal RNA", at positions 1470 to 1796 of the family's 1831-position model. The record is from RNAcentral.
CCCUUAGAUGUUCUGGGCCGCACGCGCGCUACACUGAUGCAUUCAACGAGUUUCUUCCUGGUCCGAGAGGAAUGGGUAACCUUUUGAAAGUGCAUCGUGAUAGGGAUAGACUAUUGCAAUUAUUGGUCUUCAACGAGGAAUUCCUAGUAGACGUAGUUCAUCAGACUGCAUCGAUUACGUCCCUGCCCUUUGUACACACCGCCCGUCGCUCCUACCGAUUGAAUGCUCAGGUGAGCCAUUCGGACUUUCAUCAUGCUGGUUUCCAGUUUUGGUGAAGGAAAGUCUUGCGAACCUUAUCAUUUAGAGGAAGGAGAAGUCGUAACA